GGAGAGAUGGCUGAGUUGGUCUAAGGCGCACGACUGGAAAUCGUGUGACUGUUAACGCGGUCCGAGGGUUCGAAUCCCUCUCUCUCCGCCA
RNAcentral lists this transfer RNA (91 nucleotides) under Clostridia bacterium BRH_c25. RNAcentral's name for it is "tRNA-Ser". It matches the Rfam family "tRNA". From Rfam's summary of the family: Transfer RNA (tRNA) molecules are approximately 80 nucleotides in length. Their secondary structure includes four short double-helical elements and three loops (D, anti-codon, and T loops). Lineage: Bacteria; Bacillati; Bacillota; Clostridia. The record is from RNAcentral.